Long non-coding RNA from Daucus carota subsp. sativus, 5312 nucleotides. RefSeq lists it as uncharacterized. The transcript has 5 exons. NCBI's taxonomy places the organism in Eukaryota, Viridiplantae, Streptophyta, Magnoliopsida, Apiales, Apiaceae. The record is from RefSeq and is a predicted model, not a curated record.
UUUAAAGAUUUAAAAGAUUGCUAUGUGAGUAUAAUUGUUACAUGGCUAAAUGCUGCAUGUGAAUUGUGAGUUUAAUUAGUUAUGAUAAUUAAAUGUGAAUAUUGGAUGAAUUUUAGUGUAAAUUGAUUUUCUGUAAUUGUUAUUUAUACGUGCCAGAACUGUGAGUUUAAUUAUUGGUAUUAUCAGAAUGAGUCAUAUUUUAUUUAGAUAUUUUCAAAUGAUUUAUAUACGAAUAUAUGAAUAUCCUUUCAAAACUCAUUUCAAAUAUUAUUUCUAAAAAUACAGAGAUUUGUUAUGUAAAAGUUAGAUGGUUGAUAUGUGAAUACAUGUAUUACAUGAUUAAGUGCUACGUGUGUAAUGGUCGUGUAACCAGUUAUGGUUGUUUACGAAUAUUAUUUGAGUAUUUGGUAAAUUAGUUGAUAACUGGUUUUCUAUUUUGAUUGCUUAUAUAUGUUGCAAUCACGAGUUUUCAAUUUUCAUAUUCUCAGAAUAAAAUAUGGAACAUUUGGGUAUUUUCCUGUUAAUUUAUGAAUAAUAUGUGAUAUUUAUAUGAAUUGUUGUGAGGCUUGUGUUAUCUGGUUUAUUGAACUGGCUACUCAUAUGUUUUCGGAUUUGAGAUAUUUCAAAUUUUUAUAUGAUCAGGAUAAAAUAUAGUUUAUUUAGAUAUGUUCAUAUCGAUUUUUGGAUUGCUACGUGAUUUUAUAAUCGAUUUAUGGAUUUAAUUUCGUUUAAUUAUUAAUUAUAUUAAAAUAGUUAUUUAAUAUUUUCAACCCCGCGGGCGUUCGGGAAAAUUUCGCCAUUAAGCUAUUUGGGACAUUCUGGGCAUUUCUCGUGUUUUAACUUUUUCAAUCUGGAGUACGGUUUGUCCCGUAAAUGAUCCGAUACGGUUUUAUUAAUAUUUUUUUUAAAGUUAAUAAUUAUCUGGUUGUCUCGUAAUGCGUGAAGUAUAUUCCAGGAAUAUUCCAAAGCAUAUUCAAGGAAUAUUCCAAAGCAUAUUCAAGGAAUAUUCUCUUAUCUUCUUCUAUAAAUAUCCUUUACCAGUUUAUUUCGCACGUACAAUCAUUUCGUCAGUUUCUCUGCACGAAUACCGAGAGAAGACGAACGGGUGUUCUUCGUGUUCUUCAUAUUCAAACGAGGAUUUGAAGGCGUUAUUGGAAUCCGAUGGAGGCGUAUAAAUAGUCAAAACGAAGCUCUCGAUGCGUAGAAUAUAGUUUAAUCAUCAAAACGUGUGCAGGGUUUGGACGAGACGGAUACGAUCGAAGACGUUCAGAAGGUCAAACGAUGUUACAAAGCGAAUAAGGAACGAAUCGAGUAAACGAAGCAGUGUGGCGAAUAGAGUAUAGCCAAAGAUGGUCUAGAGACUAUGAUAUGCAUACAGUGUGAAAGUGGAAAGAUGAGAUUGAGAUAUGAGACUGGAAUCGGAUUUAAGAAAAGCUUAGAGAUGAAUUGCUUGAUUGAGGUUGCGAGUAUGGCUAAGGCUAAGCGAGGAGUCAGAGUUAUAGAAUAUCCAGAGGACAAGUGGAAUGUCCAUGGAGAUUGUCAAGGUUGGUUCUAGAUAGAAUUGUUGAGAUUCAGUUGUAAUCAUAAUUUAAAUAGAUUGGCAGUGAUUCUUCUCAUCGAAGAUGAUCUGAGGUUGUAAGACAUUGUUUAUUCAUAGUGGUUGAUUCUAAUUUCAAUACUGUGACCUGGAUGCGAUCCUGUUUUUAGGGGGUUAAAGUGUUUUCUUUUAAAUCUUUUAUUAAAGUCUUCAAGUUUUAAAUCCUUUGAUUUUAUUACCUUUUUCAAAAAUACAGGUUUUCAAAAGUGUUUUAGAAUGAUUUUGUGUGGUGACGUCAGAAUCCAGACCCCCGGAUUCUCGGGCUGUCACAGUUGGUAUCAGAGCAACAGGUUAUAAGUUAUUGAAAUUAGAAUAUAGAUUAUGGUUAUAAGUUUUAUAGAGAAGAAGUGUUCAGUGACCUCAUAUAGAGGUAUUGUGAGACUGUCUGGGGAUAGUCUAGAGAGGUAAUCGGAAUAGAAUCUAGAUAGUUAAAUUAAGUUGAGGGUACAUGUUUAGAUGGAUCAUGGUUCCUAAGUCUAGACACUUGGUUUCUAGUAUGGGGACUGAUUAAGAUAGUGAAUUGUGAUAAGGGUCAGAGUCAGACCUAGUCAAAAGAGUAUUAAUAAUGAAUGAUUAAGUUAAGAAUGAUAAAGAUGCAUGGUUUGGAGUAUUCUGACCAUGUUACAUAUUUGAAAGUGGUUUAUCGUUUGAAUUGAGAUGUAGAAGAAUGGGUGUUGAAUAUGAGAUAUUGUGAAUUAGAAAGAGAGUUUUGUAGAUAGAUGUGAUGUGAAUGAUAGAGAGUAUGUGGAAUUGAGUCUAGUUAUCAGAAGUAAUAUUGUGAGUGAGAUAGAACGUUAGUCUUAACGACGACGCUUCAAGCUAACCGGGAUUUCUUCUGAUAUCAAGAUGAGCCAACUUCAUUGCGAACGAUAAUGUCUACAAGGGAUCUUACGAAGCUAUCACGAGCGAGAACGUCGAGAAGAGGACAUACCUUGAACAACGGCUUAUGGGAGCAGAGCAAGAAUUUGAGAAGACCUUGGCAAUAUCUUUCUUCAAUAAAAACUUAUUUUAAUUCUUCUCAUCAUCAUUAAGUCCUUAUUAGAAUACCUUUUCUACAAAAGUUUUGAUAAAUGAGAUUUCUUAUUUCUCGAAUGACGAGAAAACAUUGGUAUUGAUUAUUGAUAUUGGUAUUGAUUCUUGGUGUGUGAUAAAGGUUAUUGUGAGAAGACAAUGAUAUUUCUUGAUAUUCCUUGAUAUUCUUUGAUAUACCUUGAUAUCUCUUGAUAUUCUUUGGCAGUCUUUGAGAUUCCUUGGUAUUUCUUCCAUAUGAUUGGGAUGAACAACCCUAUGUAUAGGGGACACAAGGUAUACCUGUCUGUGUGAUAAGAGUUGGAUGGGACGCCAUCACUUGUGUGUGUUGUACUUACAAGAAGGUUAACAACCUUUAGUAGUGUCUAAUAUGGGCACGCAACACUAAGUUCGUUUGAUCAUAUUGAUCUCUCAGUCACUCUCUUAUUCAAACAUGACCUAUUUUGAAAACAUUUUGUUCCAUUCUAAGUUCUUAAAGAGUGAUUCUAAGAACUGAGCUCUGUAAUGGUGAAAGUUUUAAUACUCUUAUUUGUUUCAAAGUCAAAGGUAUGCCAAGGUCGAACGAAGGUGGGAGGAUGAUAGUACGAAGGAUGUACAUUUUCGUUCUCUUCGCGGAUUCUGAGGACAGAAUCCUUAUAAGGAGGGUAGAAUGUAACAUCCCAGAUUUUCAGAAUUAGUUUAUUAAUAUAGAAAUAAAUUUUUGAAUAUUACUAUUGGCUUUAAUUGAUUUCUUCUGAUAAGAUGAACGGUCUGUGUAAUAUGAGUAUAAUUGUGAUGUGAAUUAUAAGGUUAAAGACGGAAGAUGCAUUCUUCUGUUGUGAUUUCGUUUAUUUUAGCGACCCGGAUUUUUCAAAAAAAUUAUUUAUCGUUAUGAAAGUUAUUUUCUUAGAAAGAAGGAAUAAAGGUUAAUAUUUUAUUCCAGUUUAAGAUGUUUUCAAAAUUUUAUAUUCCGGGUUAUUGUAGUAUCAAUACAUGGUUGUCUUUUCAAAAUUAUAUUUUAUAUAAUUGAUUUUAAAGAUUUAAAAGAUUGCUAUGUGAGUAUAAUUGUUACAUGGCUAAAUGCUGCAUGUGAAUUGUGAGUUUAAUUAGUUAUGAUAAUUAAAUGUGAAUAUUGGAUGAAUUUUAGUGUAAAUUGAUUUUCUGUAAUUGUUAUUUAUACGUGCCAGAACUGUGAGUUUAAUUAUUGGUAUUAUCAGAAUGAGUCAUAUUUUAUUUAGAUAUUUUCAAAUGAUUUAUAUACGAAUAUAUGAAUAUCCUUUCAAAACUCAUUUCAAAUAUUAUUUCUAAAAAUACAGAGAUUUGUUAUGUAAAAGUUAGAUGGUUGAUAUGUGAAUACAUGUAUUACAUGAUUAAGUGCUACGUGUGUAAUGGUCGUGUAACCAGUUAUGGUUGUUUACGAAUAUUAUUUGAGUAUUUGGUAAAUUAGUUGAUAACUGGUUUUCUAUUUUGAUUGCUUAUAUAUGUUGCAAUCACGAGUUUUCAAUUUUCAUAUUCUCAGAAUAAAAUAUGGAACAUUUGGGUAUUUUCCUGUUAAUUUAUGAAUAAUAUGUGAUAUUUAUAUGAAUUGUUGUGAGGCUUGUGUUAUCUGGUUUAUUGAACUGGCUACUCAUAUGUUUUCGGAUUUGAGAUAUUUCAAAUUUUUAUAUGAUCAGGAUAAAAUAUAGUUUAUUUAGAUAUGUUCAUAUCGAUUUUUGGAUUGCUACGUGAUUUUAUAAUCGAUUUAUGGAUUUAAUUUCGUUUAAUUAUUAAUUAUAUUAAAAUAGUUAUUUAAUAUUUUCAACCCCGCGGGCGUUCGGGAAAAUUUCGCCAUUAAGCUAUUUGGGACAUUCUGGGCAUUUCUCGUGUUUUAACUUUUUCAAUCUGGAGUACGGUUUGUCCCGUAAAUGAUCCGAUACGGUUUUAUUAAUAUUUUUUUUAAAGUUAAUAAUUAUCUGGUUGUCUCGUAAUGCGUGAAGUAUAUUCCAGGAAUAUUCCAAAGCAUAUUCAAGGAAUAUUCCAAAGCAUAUUCAAGGAAUAUUCUCUUAUCUUCUUCUAUAAAUAUCCUUUACCAGUUUAUUUCGCACGUACAAUCAUUUCGUCAGUUUCUCUGCACGAAUACCGAGAGAAGACGAACGGGUGUUCUUCGUGUUCUUCAUAUUCAAACGAGGAUUUGAAGGCGUUAUUGGAAUCCGAUGGAGGCGUAUAAAUAGUCAAAACGAAGCUCUCGAUGCGUAGAAUAUAGUUUAAUCAUCAAAACGUGUGCAGGGUUUGGACGAGACGGAUACGAUCGAAGACGUUCAGAAGGUCAAACGAUGUUACAAAGCGAAUAAGGAACGAAUCGAGUAAACGAAGCAGUGUGGCGAAUAGAGUAUAGCCAAAGAUGGUCUAGAGACUAUGAUAUGCAUACAGUGUGAAAGUGGAAAGAUGAGAUUGAGAUAUGAGACUGGAAUCGGAUUUAAGAAAAGCUUAGAGAUGAAUUGCUUGAUUGAGGUUGCGAGUAUGGCUAAGGCUAAGCGAGGAGUCAGAGUUAUAGAAUAUCCAGAGGACAAGUGGAAUGUCCAUGGAGAUUGUCAAGGUUGGUUCUAGAUAGAAUUGUUGAGAUUCAGUUGUAAUCAUAAUUUAAAUAGAUUGGCAGUGAUUCUUCUCAUCGAAGAUGAUCUGAGGUUGUAAGACAUUGUUUAUUCAUAGUGGUUGAUUCUAAUUUCAA